This 511-nucleotide ribosomal RNA is filed under the name uncultured Pseudomonadota bacterium. RNAcentral describes it as "bacterial SSU rRNA". It matches the Rfam family "Bacterial small subunit ribosomal RNA", at positions 392 to 896 of the family's 1533-position model. Lineage: Bacteria; Pseudomonadati; Pseudomonadota. The record is from RNAcentral.
CCAUGCCGCGUGAGUGAAGAAGGCCUUCGGGUUGUAAAGCUCUUUCGGCCGGGACGAAAUCGCUUUCGCUAAUAUCGGGAGUGGAUGACGGUACCGGAAUAAGAAGCACCGGCUAACUACGUGCCAGCAGCCGCGGUAAUACGUAGGGUGCGAGCGUUAAUCGGAAUUACUGGGCGUAAAGCGUGCGCAGGCGGUUUCGCAAGUCAGAUGUGAAAGCCCCGGGCUUAACCUGGGAACUGCGUUUGAAACUACGAAGCUAGAGUACGGCAGAGGGAGGUGGAAUUCCAAGUGUAGCAGUGAAAUGCGUAGAUAUUUGGAGGAACACCGAUGGCGAAGGCAGCCUCCUGGGCUAGUACUGACGCUCAUGCACGAAAGCGUGGGGAGCAAACAGGAUUAGAUACCCUGGUAGUCCACGCCCUAAACGAUGGCAACUAGUUGUUGGGGAUUAACAUCCUUAGUAACGCAGCUAACGCGUGAAGUUGCCCGCCUGGGGAGUACGGUCGCAAGAUUA